UACAGAGGGUGCGAGCGUUAAUCGGAAUUACUGGGCGUAAAGCGUGCGCAGGCGGUGAUGUAAGUCAGAUGUGAAAUCCCCGGGCUCAACCUGGGACCUGCAUUUGUGACUGCAUCGCUGGAGUGCGGCAGAGGGGGAUGGAAUUCCGCGUGUAGCAGUGAAAUGCGUAGAUAUGCGGAGGAACACCGAUGGCGAAGGCAAUCCCCUGGGACUGCACUGACGCUCAUGCACGAAAGCGUGGGGAGCAAACAGG
Molecule: ribosomal RNA, 253 nt
Filed under: uncultured bacterium
Lineage: Bacteria
Description: partial 16S ribosomal RNA
Rfam family: Bacterial small subunit ribosomal RNA
Source: RNAcentral